This 2765-nucleotide long non-coding RNA is filed under the name Junco hyemalis (dark-eyed junco). RNAcentral's name for it is "lncRNA (ENSJHYG00000008739.1)". Lineage: Eukaryota; Metazoa; Chordata; Aves; Passeriformes; Passerellidae. The record is from RNAcentral.
AUGGCAUUUAAACAGUUAAUCUAAUUUAUGGCAAGUAAGGAUUCCACAUUAAAGACUCCUUCUACUUCGUCCUUUAAGCUUCACCACUUCAAAAGCUUUUCCCCAUCCCUUAUUAUUUAGCAAUAGUCUCCCUUUGUGCACUGGACAUACUAUGGCAGUUCAGGAGGCUGUGCCAGUUACAUGGCUCCUUUGCCAGCCCCCAUAUUGCUCAUUAAAUAAUUUUACUCCCAUCUAUACACACACAGCUGGUAAAGGGUGGCUUUGCUGCAUUCAGCUACAGCUACACUUCCAGAGCGAGCCUCGAAAUAAAAAAUCACAGCGUUACAAAAACGCUCAGCUCUCAUCACCGUGCACUUCCCGAGUCUCCGACUGCUCACACUACGUUGGCAAAGCUGUGAUGGAGCAGUACACCUGUGUCCCUUCUAGAAAAAACCCACAGUAGGCAAAAAACGUUUCAGUUCUGUUAAUACUCACUUCUCACUCAGUCUGCAAUUAAACAGAACCUUUCUUUAAAGAAAGGAUUCCCUAAAAUAUUUUACAUGCUUACAAACAGUUGUCUAUUUCAGAAAGCUUUACAAAUUCUUCCCUUUGCAAACAUUCAGCUGUGCAGCACCAGCGAAGAGCUCCGGGUACAGCAGAUGGUUAAAAUUCUGCAUCAUUUUUAAGAGCCUAAGAGAAAGCACUGCCUUUUUUCGGGGGAGGGCGGGGGUGGAGGAGAGGAGAGAAAAAAGCUGAGAACAGCAAUUUGCAGCCCCCUUUUUUUUCUCUUUUUUUUUUUUUUUUUUUUUUUCCUUGACAGCAGCAAGCUCCGCCUCAGUCUGGCCCUUCCUCCAACCUCUGCUAACCUAAAAACCAGCGCCAGCCUGGCAGCGGGCCAGGGAUUCAAAAGUAAACAUUAUCCUCCUGCCAUUUUUCACUGCUGUUUAUCAUAUCCUGAUCCCCUUUUUUCCUUGCCCCCCUCCUCCCGCCGCCCCCCCUCGCCAUUGCUGAAUUCCCCGUCUCCGCUCGCGGUCUGUCCAGCCCUGGCAGUCCCGCUCCGCCGCGCCAAGGCGAGCCUGCACUGCAGGGCGCGGUGCGAGCGCGGCUGCGGCCGUGCCCCGCCGGGCGCACCUUCCCUCCCGCGGCACGGCACGGCACGGGCUGGAAUGGGCUGGGACCCACCCGCUCCCCGCACAAUGCACUCGCCUCUCAGCGCUGCAGCUGCCGGCACAAACGCGGCUGUUGCCUCCGCGGCUUUCCCGUUUUCUUAUUUAAUUGUGAGGGGAGUGCUUAAAGACCAGAGCCAUCCAGGAGCGGCCGUGAGGGCGCCGCACGGCGCUGCACCUGACUCUUUGUUAUCCCUCAUCGCUCAUCCCCGGUCCCUUCCGCUCCGCGCUUCCUCCUCCCACCUUGCGCUGCUCCUCGUUCAUCAAGGCUGCAGUACGAAUUCUGGCUGUCACCUGCUGGGCGGCUCCAGCAAGCAGAAUUUACCCAGGCACAAAUCAGCCAGGAUCCUUCAGACACACCUGGAAACAAACCUCUGAACGGGAUAAAUCCAGAAAUCACAGGCAGUAUGCCUUCUGCAGUUAAAUGGGAGAGUAUUUAGAAAGAAAAUAGUUUUUCUAGAUGAAUGAGUUUGGCAAGAACUCAUUGCUAAGAGAUGGAACCCUAAAUUCCUUUUUGCACAGCACAGGGGACCUUGAGCCCCAAAAGGCAGCUGAGCCUUUGGCAGAGUAAGCUUCUACAUUGCAGCACAAUGAUGCCAACAGCAGGGACCCUGCACUGAGUGUGGGCAGGUGGCACCUUCCAGGAGGACACAUGGUAUGUUCUGGUGAAGAGAAAACAGCUGCCUGAAUAUAUGCUAGGCACAAAUGAAACUCUGAAACUCUGAUGAUAUGGGCAAGAUGUUGCUAUUUCAAACACUAAGAACAGCAUCUUCUCAAUGAAUGUUCUUGGCACACUGUCAAACCUGAAACCAGCCCUGCUCAGGGCAAGCUUGACCAACGAAAUUAUUCCAGGAGAAAAACAGUUCAAGUAGUCCAAACAAAAUCUGUAAAGGACUCGAGUAUUAUUUUGAAGGCAUUCUUCUUUUAUGGAGAAAUGAAAAUUCAAGUUCCUCCCAACAAAGUAUUUUUUUCAUUCUUGCAUUAGCUCAGCACUUAUAUUUCACCAGAAAUAUACUUACAAAAAUCUGCUAAAAUCACAUUCUGGAAUCCUAAAUUACCUAUGUGGAAGAAAUGUCCUAAAUAAUCUGCAACUGUUGGCUAAUGUGUGAGGUGAGCAUUUUCAAUGAAAAAAAAACCCAACAAAAACAAACAGAAGAACUUGAAUGGGAAAGCAGCUCUUUCGUUUUCCUACAGAAUGCUGGAUUAUUUCUCAUAAAAUUUGUAAUUUAUAAAAAAUUGUUUCUUUGGAGAAGGUACAACUCAUCCCACGCACUCUCUUAAUUAAGAAAAAAAUGAACCUGGUAAGUGAUUUAUUGAUGAAAAAGUAGGAAAAUUAGGAGUUAAACUUCCUACGUUCUCGAUGGACACUGUUAGAUUUGAAAGGUGAAAAGGCAAGUGGGAAAAACUUAGGAGAUGAGAAAGUACUGGAGCUUCCUUCUUAAUAUCAUUUCCAACACUCAGAUGCAGGUAAACCUCUGUAUAAAAGUUAUGUUCUUCUUAUCUAAACCUUGUAAUAGCAGCAUUCAUAUCUUCCAGAACAAGACAUACCCUAUUAGAAAGUAAGGGGUCUUGGCUGAUACCCAAGUAGAAAAAUAAAGGAAGAAGUGGGAUAAAUCCCCA